GUAGGGAAUAUUGGGCAAUGGAUGCAAGUCUGACCCAGCCAUCCCGCGUGCCGGAAGAAGGCCCUCAGGGUUGUAAACGGCUUUUGACGGUGAAGAAUCGACAGGAUGCGUCCUGUUUUGACGGUAGUCGUUGAAUAAGCACCGGCUAACUCCGUGCCAGCAGCCGCGGUAAUACGGAGGGUGCGAGCGUUGUCCGGAUUUAUUGGGUUUACAGGGUGCGUAGGCUGGAAGGUCAGUCAGCGGUGAAAAGCUGUCGCUUAACGAUAGUCUUGCCGCAGAUACUUCCUUUCUUGGAUGAGGAGGAGGCCACUGGAACGGAUGGUGUAGCGGUGAAAUGCAUAGAUAUCAUCCAGAACACCGAUUGCGAAGGCAGGUGGCUGUACCUUAAUCGACGCUGAUGCACGAAAGCUUGGGGAGCAAACAGGAUUAGAUACCCUUGUAGUCC
RNAcentral lists this ribosomal RNA (445 nucleotides) under uncultured bacterium. RNAcentral describes it as "partial 16S ribosomal RNA". It matches the Rfam family "Bacterial small subunit ribosomal RNA", at positions 354 to 796 of the family's 1533-position model. The record is from RNAcentral.